RNAcentral lists this long non-coding RNA (327 nucleotides) under Sorghum bicolor (sorghum). Its description in RNAcentral is "long non-coding RNA (SBIC_LNC012969)". The record is from RNAcentral. Lineage: Eukaryota; Viridiplantae; Streptophyta; Magnoliopsida; Poales; Poaceae.
AGGGGGUCUAGUUUUAUAGUCCCUUCAAGUGAAUAUGGGCCGUUGGAUCAAACCAACAUUGAUUGAACGGUUAUCCUUGAUCCUUUAGGUCGGUGGAGAUUGAUCCCGAAAGAGAGUCCUGUUUGGACUCUAGGAGGGGGUGGGCGCCCAGGCCUGGCUCCGUUCGGCCUCCGCUUCCUUCCCGUGGCUUCUAGAGUUUUCUAGACGUAAGAUAAUUGCGCGGCACGUUGAUAUCUCUAUGUAAUCACGACGUGUGGGCCUUUCUUCCGAAUUUCCUGAUAACCCCCUGUAGAAAUAGUCAAACACCAAAACUCGUGGAAUUCUGUC